Molecule: ribosomal RNA, 804 nt
Filed under: Triticum aestivum (bread wheat)
Lineage: Eukaryota; Viridiplantae; Streptophyta; Magnoliopsida; Poales; Poaceae
Description: partial small subunit ribosomal RNA
Source: RNAcentral
AUGAAAAUCGUAAGUUGGAACUGCCGGGGACUCGGGAACGGCCCGACAGUUCGGUCUCUCCUUGAGCUAGGGAGAGUGGAGGAACCCAACAUAUUGUUCUUAGCAGAAACACGGCUGACGGAGAAGGAAUUGGACAUAUUUUGUUGGAUGUUAGGGCUCGCUAACAUGAUGGCGUGGAAUCCAGUUGGGAGGAGUAGAGGCAUAGCGAUGUUCUGGAAAAGGAGACACAUUGAUGUGGAUGUGAAGGAGGAGAAUGGGUCGGUUUGGCGGUUAACAGGCGUUUAUGGGGAGUCAUCCACGGAGAGGAAGAAGGAAACAUGGAGAACUCUCAGGCUACUUAAACAGCAGCAUCAACAAGACCGACCAUGGUUGUGUCUAGGAGACUUUAACGAGAUUCUAUCGGGAGUUGAGAAGGUUGGUGGCGCUGACCGUUCACAAGGUAUGAUGGAUGGCUUUAGGGACGCUCUGAGUUUUUGUGACUUGGCUGACUUGGGCUUCGAAGGAGACAUUUUUACCUGGCGGAAUCAUAGCAAGGAGCUGAGUUCUUAUAUUUGUGAAAGACUGGAUAGGGCGACUUCUAAUGAUAAAUGGCGUGAUAAAUUCCCCGAGUUUACUGUUGUCAACGGUAUGCCGAGGCAUUCUGAUCACAGGCUUGUAAUUGUAUGUACGGAAGGGGUGGAUAGAAGUUGGAAGGGAGGAGAUCGUGGAUUCCGGUUCGAGGCACGCUGGCUCCAAGAGGAAGGGUGUGAGGAGGUGAUUCGGGAGGCGUGGGAGAGAAGCCGGUUAAUAGGGAAGGAGGAGUAG